This 387-nucleotide ribosomal RNA is filed under the name uncultured bacterium. Its description in RNAcentral is "bacterial SSU rRNA". It matches the Rfam family "Bacterial small subunit ribosomal RNA", at positions 30 to 412 of the family's 1533-position model. The record is from RNAcentral.
AUUGAACGCUGGCGGCAUGCCUUACACAUGCAAGUCGAACGGCAGCGGACCUUCGGGUGCCGGCGAGUGGCGAACGGGUGAGUAAUAUAUCGGAACGGUACCUUUCAGUGGGGGAUAACGUAGCGAAGUUACGCUAAUACCGCAUAUUCUGUGAGCAGGAAAGCAGGGGAUCGCAAGACCUUGCGCUUGAUUGAGCGGCCGAUAUCCAGAUUAGCUAGUUGGUGAGGUAAAGGCUCACCAAGGCGACGAUCUGUAGCGGGUCUUGAGAGGGAUGAUCCGCCACACUGGAACUGAGACACGGUCCAGACUCCUACGGGAGGCAGCGAGUGGGGAAUUUUGGACAAGUGGGCGCAAGCCUGGAUCCAGCCAUGCCGCGUGAGUGAAGAA